GAUGAACGCUGGCGGCGUGCCUAAUACAUGCAAGUCGAGCGAACGGACGAGAAGCUUGCUUCUCUGAUGUUAGCGGCGGACGGGUGUGUAACACGUGGAUAAUCUACCUAUAAGACUGGGAUAACUUCGGGAAACCGGAGCUAAUACCGGAUAAUAUUUUGAACCGCAUGGUUCAAAAGUGAAAGACGGUCUUGCUGUCACUUAUAGCUGGAUCCCGGCUGCAUUAGCUAGUUGGUAAGGUAACGGCUUACCAAGGCAACGAUGCAUAGCAGACCUGAGAGGAUGAUCGGCCACAUUGGAACUGAGACACGGUCCAGACUCCUACGGGAGGCAGCAGUAGGGCAUCUGCCGCAGUGGACGAAAGCCUGACGGAGCAGCGCCGAGUGAGUGAUGAAGAUCCUCGGUUCGUAAAACUCUGUUAUUAGGGGAGAACAUAUGUGUAAGGAACUGUGCACAUCUUGACGGUACCUAAUCAAGAAGCCACGGCUAACUACGUG
Molecule: ribosomal RNA, 497 nt
Filed under: uncultured bacterium
Lineage: Bacteria
Description: partial 16S ribosomal RNA
Rfam family: Bacterial small subunit ribosomal RNA
Source: RNAcentral